Molecule: ribosomal RNA, 253 nt
Filed under: uncultured bacterium
Lineage: Bacteria
Description: partial 16S ribosomal RNA
Rfam family: Bacterial small subunit ribosomal RNA
Source: RNAcentral
GACGUAGGGCGCGAGCGUUGUCCGGAUUUAUUGGGCGUAAAGAGCUCGUAGGCGGCUUGUCGCGUCGACCGUGAAAACUUGGGGCUCAACCCCAAGCCUGCGGUCGAUACGGGCAGGCUAGAGUUCGGUAGGGGAGACUGGAAUUCCUGGUGUAGCGGUGAAAUGCGCAGAUAUCAGGAGGAACACCGGUGGCGAAGGCGGUUCUCUGGGCCGAUACUGACGCUGAGGAGCGAAAGCGUGGGGAGCGAACAGG